Non-coding RNA from Marasmius sp. AFHP31, 92 nucleotides. The record is from the annotation of a GenBank genome assembly. NCBI's taxonomy places the organism in Eukaryota, Fungi, Basidiomycota, Agaricomycetes, Agaricales, Marasmiaceae.
GGCCUGAUGGUCUAGUAGUAUGAUUCCUUGUUAGGGAAGCUGUUAGCUGCGUCUUAUCGAGGAGGUCCCGGGUUCAAUUCCCGGUCAGGCCC